GAUGAACGCUGGCGGCGUGCCUAAUACAUGCAAGUCGAGCGAACAGACGAGGAGCUUGCUCCUCUGACGUUAGCGGCGGACGGGUGAGUAACACGUGGAUAACCUACCUAUAAGACUGGGAUAACUUCGGGAAACCGGAGCUAAUACCGGAUAAUAUAUUGAACCGCAUGGUUCAAUAGUGAAAGACGGUUUUGCUGUCACUUAUAGAUGGAUCCGCGCCGCAUUAGCUAGUUGGUAAGGUAACGGCUUACCAAGGCAACGAUGCGUAGCCGACCUGAGAGGGGGAUAGCCCACACUGGAACUGAGACACGGUCCAGACUCCUACGGGAGGCAGCAGUAGGGAAUCUUCCGCAAUGGGCGAAAGCCUGACGGAGCAACGCCGCGUGAGUGAUGAAGGUCUUCGGAUCGUAAAACUCUGUUAUUAGGGAAGAACAAAUGUGUAAGUAACUAUGCACGUCUUGACGGUACCUAAUCAGAAAGCCACGGCUAACUACGUG
This 497-nucleotide ribosomal RNA is filed under the name uncultured bacterium. Its description in RNAcentral is "partial 16S ribosomal RNA". It matches the Rfam family "Bacterial small subunit ribosomal RNA", at positions 28 to 507 of the family's 1533-position model. The record is from RNAcentral.